Molecule: ribosomal RNA, 484 nt
Filed under: uncultured bacterium
Lineage: Bacteria
Description: partial 16S ribosomal RNA
Rfam family: Bacterial small subunit ribosomal RNA
Source: RNAcentral
AUUGAACGCUGGCGGCAUGCUUUACACAUGCAAGUCGAACGGCAGCGCGGGCUUCGGCCUGGCGGCGAGUGGCGAACGGGUGAGUAAUGCAUCGGAACGUGCCCAGUAGUGGGGGAUAGCCCGGCGAAAGCCGGAUUAAUACCGCAUACGACCUGAGGGUGAAAGCGGGGGACCGACAGGCCUCGCGCUAUUGGAGCGGCCGAUGUCGGUUUAGCUAGUUGGUGGGGUAACGGCUUACCAAGGCGACGAUCCGUAGCUGGUCUGAGAGGACGACCAGCCACACUGGGACUGAGACACGGCCCAGCCUCCUACGGGAGGCAGCAGUGGGGAAUUUUGGACAAUGGGGGCAACCCUGCUCCAGCCAUGCCGCGUGCGGGAAGAAGGCCUUCGGGUUGUAAACCGCUUUUGUUCGGGAAGAAAUCCUCUGGGCUAAUACCCCGGGGGGAUGACGGUACCGGAAGAAUAAGCACCGGCUAACUACGUG